This 253-nucleotide ribosomal RNA is filed under the name uncultured bacterium. RNAcentral describes it as "partial 16S ribosomal RNA". It matches the Rfam family "Bacterial small subunit ribosomal RNA", at positions 524 to 776 of the family's 1533-position model. The record is from RNAcentral.
UACGGAGGGAGCUAGCGUUAUUCGGAAUUACUGGGCGUAAAGCGCACGUAGGCGGCUUUGUAAGUAAGAGGUGAAAGCCCGGAGCUCAACUCCGGAAUUGCCUUUAAGACUGCAUCGCUUGAAUCAUGGAGAGGUCAGUGGAAUUCCGAGUGUAGAGGUGAAAUUCGUAGAUAUUCGGAAGAACACCAGUGGCGAAGGCGGCUGACUGGACAUGUAUUGACGCUGAGGUGCGAAAGCGUGGGGAGCGAACAGG